Molecule: long non-coding RNA, 386 nt
Filed under: Ananas comosus (pineapple)
Lineage: Eukaryota; Viridiplantae; Streptophyta; Magnoliopsida; Poales; Bromeliaceae
Description: long non-coding RNA (ACOM_LNC032614)
Source: RNAcentral
GGGGUUAAGGGGUGGAAUAACCCCUUAACCCCCAUUUUAUCCCCAAACACCCCAAAAAAUAGGUGGGGUUAGCUAACCCCACCUAACCCCACCUCAAAUAAAUUAUCCCGAGUUAGCUAACCCCACCUAACCCCACCAAACUCCAACCAAACACUAUUUUCUAUUCAUAAUAAUCCACUAUCUUUCUUAUCACAGCUACUCCAACCAAUCAUUAUCCUUCUUUAUCAAUCAUUAUCUUCUUAUCCCACCUACUCCAACGAAACACUAUUUUUCAUUAUUCUAGACUAACUCCAACCCCCAACCAAACACAAAAAAACUUUAACCCCACUUUAACCCUGAACUUAACUCUAUCCCUGGAAUAGCUACUUUUUCCUUAACCCCGAACC